This 1132-nucleotide ribosomal RNA is filed under the name Alcedoecus sp. RNAcentral's name for it is "16S ribosomal RNA". The stretch from base 732 to 1073 matches the Rfam family "Archaeal large subunit ribosomal RNA", at positions 2151 to 2715 of the family's 2987-position model. Lineage: Eukaryota; Metazoa; Arthropoda; Insecta; Psocodea; Philopteridae. The record is from RNAcentral.
UUUAAAUAUUGAAUAAAGUUUGUUGAUGUUUCAGACUACAUAAAACCGACAGGGUCGAUAGAUGAUUGGUAAAAAGAGGAUUAUUAUGUUGUUCCUUUUGUAUCAGGAGGAAAGGACUUUAGAUAAAUGAGUGAUUUUUCCCGAAAAAGAGAGAUCUUUAAAGAUUUGUGGAAAUAGUUGAACUUCUUCUUUAAAAUCUUUAAAGUUAUGAAAAGUAAGUCGUUCUCUUUAUAUCUGGUUCCUAAAGAAUUGUUAUAAGACUGUUGGGUGUAUGUCAGACCAAGAAGAAUUAAAUUUGAUAGGUAUACACUUGUAGAUAGAUAGGGGAUAAGCUCUGUCUUGGAGUAGAUAGAUAGAAAGGGAUAUUAAUUUUAGUAAAAUUUAUUUUUGGUAAAUUGGAUUUACAUUGGUUUUCUACAGUAGAAAAAGGAAUUUUAUAGAAUUGAAAAUUAAUAAUUAUGAUUUUUCCAUUAGUAUAUAAGUUAAAUAAAAGCAAAGGAACUCGGCAAACUAAUGUGUUAGCCUGUUUAUUAAAAACAUCUCCUCCAGAAGGAAAUUUGAGGUAUGAUCUGCUCUAUGUUUAGAUAAAUGGCCGCAGUAUCUUGACUGUGCUAAGGUAGCAUAAUAAUUUGGCUUUUAAUUGGAGUCUGGAAUGAAUGAUUGGACUGACAAUGACUGUCUCUGUUUUAAAUGUAAAAUUUUAGCUUUCUGUAAAAAUUCAGAAAUUUGUAAGAGUGACGAAAAGACCCUAAGAUCUUUAUUAUUUUAAAUAGAUAUGCCCAUUUAAAAUAAAUUAUUUGGGAUGAAUCCAAAAAAUAUGAACAUUGGUUAAUAGUCUCAUCGAUUUACUGAUCUUAUGGUAGAUCUCCGAUGGAGAUAUAGGGGGAGAUACCUUAGGGAUAACAGGAUAAUUCCAAAAUUCUAGGUCUUAUAGAAUUUUAGGAUUGUUACCUCGAUGUUGAAUUAAGUUAUCCUUGCUGAGCAAAAUAAGCAAUAGGUUGGUCUGUUCGACCAUUAAAAACUUACAUGAUUUGAGUUUAGACCGACGUGAGUCAGGUCAGAUUCUAUCUUCUUAUAUAUUAGGAUAUUCUGAUUGUACGAAAGGACUUUAGAUAAAUUAUUCUGUUAAUUA